This 253-nucleotide ribosomal RNA is filed under the name uncultured bacterium. RNAcentral describes it as "partial 16S ribosomal RNA". It matches the Rfam family "Bacterial small subunit ribosomal RNA", at positions 524 to 776 of the family's 1533-position model. The record is from RNAcentral.
UACGUAGGGGGCAAGCGUUGUCCGGAUUUAUUGGGCGUAAAGAGCGUGUAGGCGGCUUGGUAGGUCCGCUGUGAAAACUCGAGGCUCAACCUCGAGAUGUCGGCGGAAACCACUUGGCUAGAGUCCGGAAGAGGAGAGUGGAAUUCCUGGUGUAGCGGUGGAAUGCGCAGAUAUCAGGAAGAACACCCGUGGCGAAGGCGGCUCUCUGGAACGCAACUGACGCUGAGACGCGAAAGCGUGGGGAGCGAACAGG